This 320-nucleotide ribosomal RNA is filed under the name Notagonum submetallicum. RNAcentral's name for it is "partial 28S ribosomal RNA". The record is from RNAcentral. Lineage: Eukaryota; Metazoa; Arthropoda; Insecta; Coleoptera; Carabidae.
GAUGGUUCGAUUAGUCUUUCGCCCCUAUACCCAGUUCAUACGAUCGAUUUGCACGUCAGAAUCGCUACGGACCUCCAUCAGGGUUUCCCCUGACUUCAUCCUGACCAGGCAUAGUUCACCAUCUUUCGGGUCCCAGCGUGUACGCUCUUGGUGCGCCGCAACUUGCAAUAAGUACGCGACGCCCCGGGAAUGCGAGGUAACAUAAAUAACGUUACCCAUCUUCCCUAUAUAAUAUAAUUAUAAAAAUUAUAUAUAUAUUUACUUUCAUUACGCCUUUAGGUUUAUUAUAAAUACCCAAUGACUUGCGCACAUGCUAGAUG